RNAcentral lists this unclassified non-coding RNA (209 nucleotides) under Hevea brasiliensis (rubber tree). Lineage: Eukaryota; Viridiplantae; Streptophyta; Magnoliopsida; Malpighiales; Euphorbiaceae. The record is from RNAcentral.
AUCUGAGGACAGCAGCUCUCUACCAACAAAAACAAGUGCUAGAUCCACAGACUGCUGAAGUUUCUUUUCCGAACACAUUAAGUUUGACCAGCCUCCUUGAGCCAGAAUAGACCUGGCAAGAUCCCUUGAAGAAAUGGUCUGAUAAUUCACUGCUUCAUCCAUUCUGUUGUUUGAAAACUCAUGGUCGUGGUGAGAAGACCAGAAAAAAG